This 3181-nucleotide long non-coding RNA is filed under the name Homo sapiens (human). Its description in RNAcentral is "HSALNT0347723". Lineage: Eukaryota; Metazoa; Chordata; Mammalia; Primates; Hominidae. The record is from RNAcentral.
GCGAGCUCCCACAUUCACCACUCCUGGGGUGAGCAUGCCCCGCAGCCAGCAGCCCUGCGACGCUGGGCCCGGCCCGGCCGGCGUCUCCCGAGGCUGCAGCGCUGCCUGCCGUACGCACACCAGUUGCUAGGCGCCCGGGGCCUCGCGCCUCAGUUCCAUAGGGCAAGGGGCCCAGUGUUAGGGUUCAGGGCCAUGACGGGUGCUUGGACAGCUUGGGCAGCGGAGGCCACCGGGACUCCUCGACCAGCACUAGUGCCUCUGCCUUCAGGUCACUGCUGCCGAGUAUGGGGGUAAUGUGGGGGAGUGAGCUGAAUCAAAACUGGGUGAACACUGGUCAGUGGUGACACAAGAGGGAGGCAGGAGGAAGAUCAAAGACGAUGGAAGCAGAGAUGCCACGAACCAAGAAAAGCAAGGGGCUCCCAGAACUGGAAAAGGCAAAGAAAAGGAGUCUUCAGAAGUAACACAGGCCUGCUGACCCCUUGAUUUGGCUGUGAAACCUAUUUUAGAUUUCUGACCUCCAGAAAAGUUAAAACAAUAAAUUCACUUAAGUUUAUGGUCAUUUGUUACAGCAGCAAAAGAAAACUAAUACAUUCACUUAACACUGAGUGCCUACAUGUCAGCAAAUGGGCAGAAAUUAAAAGGCCUGGCCUUAAAGUUUACUACCUAACAGAAGGGAGGCACAUGAGAGGAAUGUUUUGGCUCUUUGACACCACAUUUCUAAGGAAAACCACUGGGAGCAGAAAGCUGUCAAUCUUCCCAUGGAGGUGGGCCCACAAAGACACCAGACACCCCUAAGAAGCUCUAUCACAUCCUAUACAUCCCCAGGGCACUCAUUUCACUGUAUCUGUUGCCUGUCUUCCCAUCAGACUGAUACCUGAAAGCAGAGGCUAUUUUCCGUAAUUCACUGUUGUGUGCCCACAUUAAGUGCUGAAGCUAUACUGCACAGCAGCAUUGAGCACUUUCGAGCUAGGCGCUGCUCUAAGCAUUUUACAGGACCUGUUAACAUUUAAUCUUCAUUAAAAUCCUAUGAAAUUAGGCAAAAUUAUCUCCAUUUUGCUGACAUGGAAACCGAGACAGAGAUUAUUUAUUGGCCCACGCUAACAAAUAAGUGGAGACUAGAUAUGAACCCAAGCACUCUGGCUCCGAAGCCAACACUCCUAAUCCAGCGAACCACAAAUGAACCUUCAAAGAAGUUACUAACUAGGUUAACACUGGUUAAAGGCCAGUGAGUCCAAGACAACUUUAUAAAAACUGAGAUAGCUAAGGGACCAUCCACUAGAGAAAGCCGGACCUUAGAAGGAUGAACAGGAAAUAAACAUAUAUGAGGUGUAAUCUUGUAGGAGAACCUACUGGGUGCCCAGACCCCUAAGGUUGGUUAGGCCUUCCAGAGGAGGAUCCCUUGAAAGCAAUGACAUUUAUAAGAAGUGAGUUUCCUAAUCAGGUGUUAAUCUGCAUUUGAAUAGGUUCCACCAGCUCACAAACAUUUUCGUACCUAUUAUUGUUCCUCACAAUCCUCUUAUAAAACCAGAUUGGUUAUCCCACUUUACUCUGUUCUCUAUGGGAAUCCUGGUUCUCUGCAACCCCUCCCACAUUUCCCCAUCCUCCCUGGCCCCAGGCCACACUUACAAUAUGUGUCUGCAUGGGCUAUAUAUUUAUAUAUUUUUUUUUAAAAAAAGCUUUGCUAAGUAUCUCUCUGUAUAUAAAGUGCUUAUUCCUAUCCCAAUGAAGACUUCCCACAUUUCAUGCACCCACCCACCUGCACCUAGAUUAAGCAAGCAAUACACCAUCUGUACAACUUCAUUCCAUAAUUAGUCUUAAUUCUGACCCUGCAGAGGCCACUGAUGGCCCUCACUAUUCCUCUAAAACCUGGAAGCCAAACAGGCUCUGACAUCUUCUGAGGCACAACUACCCUUCAUGACACUGGAUGUGCUAACACUGGGAACUGUACUCUCUAUCUACCAAAGCAGUAAGACAAAACUGAAUUUAUAACUUAAAAACCCUCUGGAGGCAGUGGGUCAUGCCUGUAAUCCCAACUAUUCAGGGGACUGAGGCAGUAGGAUUGCUUGAGGCCAGGAGUUCAGUAACAUGCUGGGGAAUACAGGCUGGUGUGGAUCUCAUCUCUACAAAGGAAAAUUAAAAAAUAAACUCUUUGGCUCUACCUAGAUAUCCAUGUACUAUUUCAAAAUAUUGACCCAACUGCUAAGACAAAAAACAUCUAGCAAAACACUGAUACAAUCAUAAAUAUGUAAAAUGAUUUUUAUAAACGAUCAUCUUGAUUUCUCUCCAAAAUUCACUGACCCUAAACAAACUUACUAAGCCAGAGAAAUAGGUCCCAAAACCAGGAACAAAGAACUCAAAGAAAUUCUAUUUGUCUAGCAACUUUCGAAUAUUAAAAAGCAAUAAAUGACUGUGGAGCAGUAGUACCAAAAUAAUUACUAAGGGAGCUGUUUCAGUGUGUCAGAACUUUGACAACUAAAUGAGGACCACAAACAUUUUUACUCUCAUUCUAUGUACUUCAUGUUACACUCUACAUUGUUCACUAGUCUAGGUGAAACAAUACAUGAAGUAUAAAGGAAUGUUAUUUACAAAAAAACCUUUGAAGUUUUUGCCCAUUAAUUUCAUCAGAUGCUCUGAAAUAAUUUGCAUCCCUGGGCACAAAUUUCAUGCCUUCCUUCAUAAUACCCACAGUAUGUAACAAUUAUUAGUAACUCACGUAAGUAUGGCAAAAGAUGCAAAACAAGAACACAAAAAUGGAAUGCAAAAGGAAAACAACACAUUUACAUGGCAGUUUAUAAACAAGCGAAGGCCCGAGAAAUAAAUUUUAGCAACUAAAUUCAAUUUUUUCCAUAAACCAAAGUUGGAUUACCUUACCGACAAAUCAUGUACAAAUGCUUGUGAAACAGGCUUUCUUAGAAUAAACCCAUUUCGAAUCACUCAGCACAGUUAAAAAACAAAAAAUUAAAAUCUUUUGUAUAGAAAAGCCUUUUAAAAACCCAAGAGAUGUCUUUCACACAGACUCGACCCUGAUUUUGCACGAAAUGGGCUGUUGAUUUGGCUUAAUUUUAUCACACACCACACUUGCCACAGUAGUUAAGGGAAGACAGAGGCAGGCUAACAACAACAACAACAAAUCACAAAUACAACAAUAUAUUUCAAUUUGAGAGCAGGUACUGUUUAUUAA